Molecule: transfer RNA, 68 nt
Filed under: Strahlaxius plectrorhynchus
Lineage: Eukaryota; Metazoa; Arthropoda; Malacostraca; Decapoda; Strahlaxiidae
Description: tRNA-Cys
Rfam family: tRNA
About the family: Transfer RNA (tRNA) molecules are approximately 80 nucleotides in length.
Source: RNAcentral
GGCCUUAUAGUAUAAGAUUAAAAUACUAGAUUGCAAAUCCAGAGAUGUGUAUAUUAACACUAAGGCUU